RNAcentral lists this ribosomal RNA (478 nucleotides) under uncultured bacterium. Its description in RNAcentral is "partial 16S ribosomal RNA". It matches the Rfam family "Bacterial small subunit ribosomal RNA", at positions 28 to 523 of the family's 1533-position model. The record is from RNAcentral.
AACGAACGCUGGCGGCGUGCUUAACACAUGCAAGUCGAACGGUAAGGCCCUUCGGGGUACACGAGUGGCGAACGGGUGAGUAACACGUGGGUGAUCUGCCCUGCACUUCGGGAUAAGCCUGGGAAACUGGGUCUAAUACCGGAUAGGACCACUGCCUGCAUGGGUGGUGGUGGAAAGCUUUUGCGGUGUGGGAUGGGCCCGCGGCCUAUCAGCUUGUUGGUGGGGUGAUGGCCUACCAAGGCGACGACGGGUAGCCGGCGUGAGAGGGUGACCGGCCACACUGGGAAUGAGACACGGCCAGAACUCAUCCGGGGGGCAGCAGUGGGGAAUAUUGCACAAUGGGCGCAAGCCUGAUGCAGCGACGCCGCGUGAGGGAUGACGGCCUUCGGGUUGUAAACCUCUUUCAGCACCGACGAAGCGCAAGUGACGGUAGGUGCAGAAGAAGGACCGGCCAACUACGUGCCAGCAGCCGCCGUAA